AAACUUUUAGUAUAUUUUUUUAUGUAUUUUUAAUUGCAAAUUAGAAGGUUGAAAAGUUUU
This 60-nucleotide transfer RNA is filed under the name Angiostrongylus cantonensis (rat lungworm). Its description in RNAcentral is "tRNA-Cys". Lineage: Eukaryota; Metazoa; Nematoda; Chromadorea; Rhabditida; Metastrongylidae. RNAcentral also lists the same sequence under 1 other name. The record is from RNAcentral.